AUACGGGAGGCAGCAGUGGGGAAUAUUGGGCAAUGGGGGAAACCCUGACCCAGCAACGCCGCGUGAGUGAAGAAGGCCUUCGGGUUGUAAAGCUCUGUCGCAGGGGACGAAGAAAGUGACGGUACCCUGUGAGGAAGCCCCGGCUAACUACGUGCCAGCAGCCGCGGUAAUACGUAGGGGGCGAGCGUUGUCCGGAAUUACUGGGCGUAAAGGGUGCGUAGGUGGCUUGUUAAGUUGGAUGUGAAAUCCCCGGGCUCAACUUGGGUGGUGCAUUCAAAACUGGCGAGCUAGAGUGCAGGAGAGGGAAGCGGAAUUCCUAGUGUAGCGGUGAAAUGCGUAGAUAUUAGGAGGAACACCAGUGGCGAAGGCGGCUUUCUGGACUGUAACUGACACUGAGGCACGAAAGCGUGGGGAGCAAACAGGAUUAGAUACCCCGGUAGU
RNAcentral lists this ribosomal RNA (441 nucleotides) under uncultured bacterium. RNAcentral's name for it is "bacterial SSU rRNA". It matches the Rfam family "Bacterial small subunit ribosomal RNA", at positions 339 to 794 of the family's 1533-position model. The record is from RNAcentral.